UGGGGAAUAUUGGACAAUGGGCGCAAGCCUGAUCCAGCCAUGCCGCGUGUGUGAAGAAGGCCUUUUGGUUGUAAAGCACUUUAAGCGAGGAGGAGGCUACUUGGAUUAAUACUCUAAGAUAGUGGACGUUACUCGCAGAAUAAGCACCGGCUAACUCUGUGCCAGCAGCCGCGGUAAUACAGAGGGUGCGAGCGUUAAUCGGAUUUACUGGGCGUAAAGCGUGCGUAGGCGGCUUCUUAAGUCGGAUGUGAAAUCCCUGAGCUUAACUUAGGAAUUGCAUUCGAUACUGGGAAGCUAGAGGAUGGGAGAGGAUGGUAGAAUUCCAGGUGUAGCGGUGAAAUGCGUAGAGAGCUGGAGGAAUACCGAUGGCGAAGGCAGCCAUCUGGCCUAAUACUGACGCUGAGGUACGAAAGCAUGGGGAGCAAACAGG
This 430-nucleotide ribosomal RNA is filed under the name Acidobacteriota bacterium. RNAcentral describes it as "Acidobacteria bacterium partial 16S ribosomal RNA". It matches the Rfam family "Bacterial small subunit ribosomal RNA", at positions 355 to 776 of the family's 1533-position model. Lineage: Bacteria; Pseudomonadati; Acidobacteriota. The record is from RNAcentral.